RNAcentral lists this non-coding RNA (31 nucleotides) under Rattus norvegicus (Norway rat). Lineage: Eukaryota; Metazoa; Chordata; Mammalia; Rodentia; Muridae. The record is from RNAcentral.
UAAAGUUGAUAAUUACCACAGUCUCUUCUGU